Molecule: RNA transcript, 6777 nt
Organism: Cervus elaphus (red deer)
Lineage: Eukaryota; Metazoa; Chordata; Mammalia; Artiodactyla; Cervidae
Gene: CEP126
Gene name: centrosomal protein 126
Exons: 9
Source: RefSeq, a predicted model, not a curated record
ACGCGGCGUCGGUUGCUUGUCAACAUGGCGGCGGCGUCGCCACCUCAGCCGUUUCCAGGCAAGGUCGCCGCUGCGGCAGCUGCCGUCGACACCACAGCCGAGAGCGCCGCUGUGCGGGAACCGGAGCUGCGGCGGCCAACUUUCCCGCCGCAGUGACGCGAGGCUUGAGAGACGGAGUGCUGAGAGGGCCGGAGGAGACAGCGGGAGCUGCCAUGAGGGAGGCUCUCGGGGCUAGCCGGGAGGCGGCGCUGAGGUGAAGGAUGCUGACCAGAAGGCCUGGAGCCCGGAGCGCGGUCGCCGGACUGGGCACUGAAUCCUCGGACACCCACGUCAAAGCCCCCCUCAGCCCUCGCUUGAGCGGCGGGCGUCACCGACCUGGCGCCUACCUAGAUAUGAAAAUUCAUUUUGAGAAAAAUUUAGAAGAAGAGCGCCAAAUAUUACUGCAGCAACAAAAAAUAUGUCGAAAUCGAGCACGUAAAUAUUUUGUGGAGUCAAACCGGAGAAAAAAAGCUUUUGAAGAAAAACGAAAAGAGCAAGAAGAAAGAGAACACCAAAUCAGAGAACAGAUACUUCAACAACGAAAACAGAAGGUGGAAGAGGUUACUGAAAAAUUCCAGCGUGCCCAUAUUCCUUUUUCACAGCGGAAGAGAACAGUUCUUCAAAGACCAGUUCUUCCAUUAGAAGAUGCCCUCAAACAAAUUCAGGAGUCCAACCUAAAAUCAGAAGUAAACCUUCCCUCUUCCCACAGACCAAUAAUAAACUGGAGAGCUAUAGAUAAUGACUUGCCUUCAUCAUUGUCAAAAAAUGAUCAUAAGCAUCAGAAAUAUCUCAUAUCCAAAAUCAGUUGUGGUCAAGAAAUGGAAAACAGCAAGGCAAACUUGACUACUAACAAAGAUGCAUUCCAGCUUAAACUGGAGGAAACGCAGAAACUCCUAGAAGAUCAGCAUCUAAGCAGUUUGCAAAAAUUUCGUGAUGAAGUUAAUCAGAUAAUAAAUUCUGAAACCCUCUCAAGUAUAGACAGUCUUGAGGCUGGGGAACGUGAAGAAAUAUAUUUAACACUUAAUAAGGAGCCUUCCACAUCAGUCCAGCAGCAGAAUUCCAUUUCCCUCAAAUCAGCAAAUCUGCAAUCAGCUAAUCUAAGCUGCUUUGAUGAAGAUAAACUGUCAUUCUCUAAAACUCAACACAUAAAUAAUUGGCUUGUAAAUAUAGAUGAUCCAAAUAUUUUCUCAGAUAUUUUUAGUAAACCUAAUGUUCUCCCUGACUCAAGUAAAUGCUUUAAUAGUAAAGAACAAAAUCCAUCUACUCUGAGUAGAACUGUGGAAAGAGCCAUAAAUACUGCUAAUAAUUCAGUAGCCAUUCUAUAUAGUCCAUCCAUAUUUGUACAAGAUAAAAAAAGCAAAAACACAUCUGAAACUAGUGUUAUAAGGACAACUGACUCUUCUGAAGCAUUCAAAAGAGAAAGACCGUUAGUUUCUGAGAGCCCAAAAUUUAAAUUCAGCAAAGCCUGGGCCACUCCAGAUUCUCUAACACAGGAAAUCACAAUAAUUUCAGACCAAGAAAAAUAUUCUGAAAUGACUCAAGAAAAUAGAACUACUUCAGUUCCUACUUCAUUUGUACCUUUGGCAACACCUUUAGUUUUGCCAUUGAAUACACAAUCAGCUAGGCCUUUACCAAAGAGCAGUAUACACAUAAAAGAAAUUGACCCAGUGCAGUGUUCUGAUAAGUUAGGGGAAAUGAAAGACAUUAAAGAUGAAAAGACAAAAUAUUUUAAUUGUAAUGAGGAAGAGUUGUCUUUAUUUUCAGAUAAUUUUCAAGCCACCUAUAUACUUCACAACUCUGAUUCAAAAGACGAAAAACAGGAAAUAUCUGAAGCACCAAAAUCAUUGUCUAAUAUAAUUUCUAAUUGUGACUUAGUCAAUCAGCACAAGAAAAUGAAAUACAAUAUUUGUGAGAAGAAUAGUGUGAGAUUUCUUAAAAGUAUUUUAAAGAAAGAAUCUAAAUACGAGCAUGAUUAUUUUAAGGCACUGGUUACAAACCAAGGCUUUAAGUUAGGAAAUCAAAAAGCAGCAGUUAUCAGAGAUAGUAUUGAAUUAACAAAAGAAAGAGGGAAAAGUGCAGAAACUCCAAAAACUAUUAAAAAACUGAGAUGGUUUGAUGAAACUGGCAAUACAAGGAAAAAUGCUGAAGAUAGUCAUUUGCUGAAGAGUAGAAAAAGAGUAUCUCAACAGUGGUCUCAACCAUUCCACAUUCGAUCUAAAAGUGGUGCUGCCAGCAACAUGCCUAGUAUUCCUGCUUCUGCUGUGGAUUCUGCUAAUAAGAAAGAGCCCAAGGACGAUUUUAUCUCUGAAAACGUCACUGCUUUAGGAGGAUCUGGAAUAGACCAUGUGCCUUUGAACUGCUGUAUACCUUCAGAUUAUAGCACUGCUAAACAAGCCUGGCCAGACUCCACAGAGGAGGAAACUAUAUCCCCUGCAAAGAGUGGUGGUUCCAAAACUCAGAAAACUAACCCACAAAGGAGUGAAGCCAAAGUCGUUAGAAGAACAAGGUCUGCUAAAGUCCAGUCAGGCUUUGUAUGUAUGAACAGAAAAGGCACUGUUAUUCGACCACAGUCUGCGAGCAAAGCCAGCACAUUUUUACAAGCUCAGGGUAAAUUAAUUGUACCUCAUCCUCCUCCUCCAUCUCAAUUAAAUAUUAGAAGUUGUAAAAAUAUACAAGUAUCUCAGUGUCAGUCUGUAAUGCCUGAAAAUUCUCAAAACAUCAGUACAUGUAACUACUUUAAUUCAAAACAUAUGCUUCCAACAGAACACAAGUUGAAUCAGUGGAAUCAAGAAAGUAGUCUUCCACUCCCUCAUGUUUGUUCUGACUUAGACACUGUGAUGCCAGCUCUACCAUAUUGUUCUUCUGAGUGCCAAACAUUAAAGAAAAUAAAUCAUUCAAAUGGCAGUCAAACUGUUGCCCCGCAAGAUGGGAUGUUAUAUUGCCCCCAAAGAUGUCCAACAUAUGAAGAAAGUCAUCCCUCUGUGACUCUUAAAACUACUAGAGAAGAACUGGUUCCCAUGUGGAAAAGACAGCAUAAUAUUCUGGGUCAAAAUGAAAAGGCUGCUGGUUGAAGAAUAGGUAAAACCAUGGAUGGGGUUAUAUGGAAACAGAAGCAAGAUAUCUAUCUUGACAGUUUUUCUUUAAGAAAAGAAAAAAUCAAGACAAAACUAAACAAACAAGAAAACUUUACUGUAUCUGUUAGAAACUUAAUAUAAUUUUAGGCAAUAAUAACCAGAUCUUUGGAAGUACUGCGAUAGUCUACAUUAUUUUAGGCUAUAUAUUUUAAGAGCUGUAUAUAAACAAACUGGAGUGAGCCAGAACUCUGGAAGGAGGGGUUGUGUCUGAAGGCCAAUUAAAGGAGCUCAAGCCAGAGAGACAUGUACAGGCUCUGUACAAAUGUUUGAAGGUUUAUUAUGUUAAAAAAGGGGGAAACAGAACUAAGUGAAGGGGUAAAAUGUGCAAAUAUGUUUUCAGCUCAGCAUGAGGAAGAAUUUGAGCUAAUACCACCAACAAUUGGGGAAGGUACCCCCAUGGGGAAGUGGCUUCCCUUCACUUAAGCAUUCAAGCACAGGUUGACUGUCCAUCUCUGAGUGGUUUAGAUUUAUGAGUAAGAGGUUGAACUAGUUAACAUCUAAGAUCACUUCCCAAACUAUAAUUUCAUUAAUGUCUCCAGAAUUUCCCCUUGUUUAUAAUUGAGAAUACUGUAAAUUUUAAAAUACAUAAUACCUUCCUAAAGAUUAGCUUUAUUUUGAGUUUUGGUAGUAAUUCUAUCAUAUUUAGAAUUUUCAUAUGAGACAAGAAAUUUGACUAGAGAUGCCAGCACAAACUAUAUUAUUUUUGCAAAAAUACAUAUAUUCUCAGCUAUUAUAUUAAUUAGUAAAUAGUAUUUAAGUUCAUGUAUGUGAAUGGAACAAAACAUGAAAAGUUUUAAGCAUAUAUUUUCUUCUGUUCUUAGUAUCACUUUAUAAUCCACAAAACUGAACAUCUACACAAAGAACAAUCAAAAACAAAUAAUUAUGCUAUGAAUUGAGAAAGUACAAAAGUAUUGGUAGGUCUUGCCUCCAGAAGGUUUAUUAACAGGCUGAAGGAAGAGAAAAAUUAUUGAUACAGCAGUCAUGUAACCAAGUCAAUUUUCACUUAAGAUGUUUUUAGAGCUGUUCAAAAAUAGAAAAAUGGGGACUUUUCAAGAUUUAGAAGACAAUUCCAAGCAUAAUAAACAGUAUUAAAACUUUAUUGGUACCCAAAUUAUCUCACUAUAAGCUAUUAACAUGUAAUAUAUCGAGCAUUUAACAUAUUUAGCAUUCCCUUAUUAGAGUAAACAUAAUACAGUGCUUUUUAAACUAUAGGUCAUUACUCAUUAGCAGAUUAUAAAUCAGUUAAUGAGUAGUAACCAGAAAUUUUUAAUGAAAUAUAAUUGUAGAAUGUUCUAGAAUAGAAACUACCAGAGGGCACUGUAUAUUGUAAGAGUAAAUAUGGUUCACAAAACUAUAUAUGCAUCACGGGUCACAACGGAAGAUAUCUUUCUAUGAGACACAGCCAAAUCAAAAUGAAAAUUACUAGCAUAGAGAGUAAGAGUAGAAUUCUAGAUUUUAGAGACUGUUUGAGCUAAAUCUCAUCAUCGCCCUUUACUGGCUCUGUGACCUUGGGCAAGUUACUGACACUUGCCUGUGCCUCAGUAUUUUUAUCUAUAAAAAUAGUGAUGAUAACAGUGCCUAUAGUAUAGAACAAGGCCUGGGCAACUAUAACUGUUCAACACAUUAGCUAAAAUUAUGUUAGUAUUUCUUACUCUAAAAAAUCAGAUGUUCAAUUACUAGCCAGCUUUCUUGAAAUUUGAAAGCUUUUAUGUCUUUGUUGUUAUAUAGAUACAGGUAUCUACUUAUAGUGUAUGUGUAUAAUUAUAUAUAUGUUAUAUAGAGAAAAUAUACAGAUAUUUAGCUAUGGUAACAUAAAUAUCUGUGUUCUUUCAGUACAUAAUUUCAGCUACAAAUAUUUAUAUAUUUUUUCCUACCUAAACCUGUAUGACAGAAGCACACAUAUACACUCCCAAGACAUUUGUGUGCUUAUACACACUCCUUGAAUUUUCCACCUUUCAGUCCAAGAGUCUUAUUAACUAUGUAUCAUUGUUACUUUGUACUUUAGAACAUAAUGUUCCUUUUGAUUCAAAGAUCCUUGUACUUGGAGGCCUACUACUCCUUUAAGACCAAGCUUAAACAUAACCUCUGUGAAAGCUUUCUUGAUUCUGACAAAGGCUCUGUGUUUUCACUUAAUUCUUUACAACUUCAGUUUAUUCAUACACAUACAGUUUAUUCACUUUACUGUAAUAAUCCAUUUAAAUUUAUAUCCAUUCUUCUGGAAUCAUGGACUCCAAGAGUUUUUAUUGUACCACCAUUAACAAAAAUGUUGAGCAAAUAUCACAUACAUAUAUACCAUACACACAUAUUACUCUACUAAUAUAUACGUUAAGCACCUUAGCCAGAAAUAGAAAAAAUUUUUAACUGAGACAAGGAUGAAAUACAGACUUUUAAAAUAAUUUUUAAAUUUUGUAUCUUAUAAAUCAUACAUUUUAAAAUAAUAAUUAUAAGAACAAUUUUAUGUACUAACAUGCAAAAAAUUUCUCAUAGUAUUAAUAAUUUUCUGAAUGGGAUAAGAUGAUAAGUGAUGACUUUUUUUUUAAGAUGACUUCUAUAUACCAUCCUUAGAUAUCUCAAGGCAUAAUACACAGAGUGAGGUUUAUUGUUAUUUUUUACAAUUUUUAGAUUUGUGAUCCUUUGUUAUAAUGUAACUAUACUGUCAUUGUUAUUGUGUGGCAGAGAGUUUGUAAUGAGAAUAAGAUGUGAAUCAGCUCUGUCUUUCUUAUUCUCCUGUGCUUGCACUAUUAGUAUUGUCUUUAUGAUUUUGCAAGACUAUUUUUUAAUUAGUCAUAGAGAAAAUAAUAAAUAAAAUAAUAAUAAAAUAUUACACAUACAAUAAAAGCCCUACAAAAGUCAUUUUAGCCUCUUUUCCACUUUGUAAGGAUUCAUUCAGAUACUAUGAGAUAUCCAUAAAUCCAGGGCACACAUAAAAUUCAGUGCAUUGAAGGACACAAAAGGACACUUGUGAAGAUAACACUGCCAAACUCACACACUUAGAACCUCUGCACUUCCUGCAAGACAACUGUUUACUGUAUGCAGUGUGCAUACCGUGUAUGCGCACUGUAUGCAUCUACCAUGCAAACUCACAAGGGUGCCAGUAUCAAUCAUGUUUUACCACAGUAAAUUUUAAGUUUCUAAUUUUUAGAUAAUAGGAAAUUAAAUUUUAACAUGUUCUUCCUGUGCAACAGUGAUUUAUUUUGCAUAUCCUCCUGGUGUUCUGCCACAACACUUUAGAGGUCACUGCUCUAAACUAUAGACCCCUCAAAAGCAGAGAUGUUUAAACCAUUAUGGUACCUGUGUCAUGCAUCGUACAUGUAAGAGAAGUUCAAUAAAAGCUUGCCAACUGAAUGAAUGAAACUUAGGGUUUUCUGUGAUGUUUGAAAGUAACUUGGAAGUUUACAGUGGAUAUAUACUGUCUACUUGUGUAAAUUUUGACUUUGUCGUGGUAUUUGUUUAAGAUUCUAGUGUUACAAGAAGAAAACAAAUUGUCGAAAAUAAGCACAAAAGUCUUUUAGAGCAAAAAAGACAAAACCCUGGAUCUGUAGGACAGAAGUACAGGGAGCAGAUGAAUAAUUUUGGACAAAGUAUCCAGCUAAGUUCAAAUGAG